GGCGUAGGCACAAGCUUCUCUAACUUCUCUCUAUCUCCCCAAACCAGAUUAAAGCCCUAAUUUCUCACUUUCGCCCAAUUCGGAGCUGGAGGCCGACGGGCCGGAGAGGCCAGCUCCGGCCGGCGCACCCGCGCCAAGGCUUUCGUCUCAUCCACCCCGACGUCUCUAUGGUACGGGUUUGUCCGAUCGUUGAUCGAGGAGAGAGAAUCAAAAUCUAAAGCUUCGGGGUUUUGCUACGAAGUUUCGAUGCCUUUUCCAACAACUCCUGCGAUCAUCGGCAAUGCAUAAGGGAUUUUUUCGGCGGCUAUUCAGGAGGUUUUGGGCUUGUAUAUGACGUUUUGGAGAGUGACAAGAUGCCUGGUCGGGUUCAAAUCAUUUAGUUGACUGAAAUGAGGAAUUUGGGUAUGUUCAGCCUCCGUCGGACCACCCUUUGUGGUGACGGAACAGAAUGAGGGGAGUAUCCCUUCGUUUUGUGAAUUGAAGGUGUACUAAGAAUCUUGAAUUAUGAAUUAAAUGGCUAGUUGUGAUUAUUGAUUAGGGUUGUUGCUCGAUCUUUUCGUGGUCGACGGCGAGGUCACGGAGCUUCUUGGAGAGGCGGAGGGUGUGGGGGAAGAACUUGGAGAUGGCGUGGAGGUUGGAGAACUGGAGAGUGAGGGCAUUGAUAGAGUGGAGGAGAGUUGGGAGAGGAGGUUGGGGUGGCGGAUGGUGUGCUGGAGCUUCUCGGCGGUGGAGGCUUUCAUCUGAAAUGAGAGAGAGAGAGAGAGAGAGA
This is a long non-coding RNA of Rosa rugosa (rugosa rose), 769 nucleotides long. RefSeq lists it as uncharacterized. The transcript is spliced from 2 exons. NCBI's taxonomy places the organism in Eukaryota, Viridiplantae, Streptophyta, Magnoliopsida, Rosales, Rosaceae. The record is from RefSeq and is a predicted model, not a curated record.